Long non-coding RNA from Brassica oleracea var. oleracea, 977 nucleotides. RefSeq lists it as uncharacterized. The transcript has 4 exons. NCBI's taxonomy places the organism in Eukaryota, Viridiplantae, Streptophyta, Magnoliopsida, Brassicales, Brassicaceae. The record is from RefSeq and is a predicted model, not a curated record.
CCUAAUUUGUAACGAUCGUCAGACGGUCCAAGUUCUGAUUGCCUUUUCGCCGACGUAACCGCAGCAACAAUGAGAAUCUGUUUUCAAAGCUUCUUGAUUACUAACCAAUUCGAAACGCAGCUAAUUAACUCGUCACCUCCUCCCUCUUGGGCCUAUAAAAACCGAUACCUCCUCUUUCUUUGUCGUUCAGAAUCAUCAAAGUUUUCACAUUCCCUCAAAUUCAUCAAAACUUUCCUGAAAUUUGCCAUGGCAAACCGAUCGCCGGAAACCACCGCUAAUGGCCAAUCGUCUGAAACCACUGUACUGUCGUUGAGGGUUCAUCGCUCCUAACCGCCUAGAGAGUAAAGAGUUAUGCAAGUCGCCUUAAACGUGGUGGUCUUCAAUCGUCGGGAAGGGAUCUUUAGUGAAAGCUUUGUAAUAGCCUUUCGUCUCAGUUUACUAUAGUUUUCUGACUGUCAUUUGUGCUUUGAUCUUCCAUGUUUGGUACGACACUGAACGCCUUGCUCCUGCUACGUACAAAGCAUCACUUGACAUAUGUUUAGUUUUCUUUGAAAAGUGUUCUUGGGAGUUGUCUGUGAUCUUUUUAUGUUCGAUCUUUUAUAUAUUGUGAGUUUGUUAGGAACGAGGAAGAACAAGCGGUUGAGAGAAUUGAGGGAAAUGGAGGAGUUCGAGCUCCAUCACUGUGUUUAGGUUGUUGGAGGUUUAAAAGAUGGAGAUGAAGCUUCACUGGAGAGGAUUCACCAUCUGGGACCAACUGAAAAUGGGCAAAUUGAUUUCAAGGAGAUGUAAUCUGUGACACAACUUCAGGGUCUGCAUAGCGCAAGAACGACGUCCGAGCAAGCGCGGCUUCAUCUGGUCAUCACUUUGUCUUCUAAUGCUAUGAGAAUUACUUUAUUUUGCAUCAAUCUGUCAGUCAACGCCAUUACAUGUAGCGUAACAUGUAAAAGUUUUGUUAUCUAGAAAAGUUACUUUGUUUA